Molecule: ribosomal RNA, 237 nt
Filed under: uncultured bacterium
Lineage: Bacteria
Description: partial 16S ribosomal RNA
Rfam family: Bacterial small subunit ribosomal RNA
Source: RNAcentral
GAUCCUGGCUCAGAGUGAACGCUGGCGGCGUGCCUAAUACAUGCAAGUCGAACGGAGAUUAAGUAGCUUGCUAUUUAAUCUUAGUGGCGCACGGGUGAGUAAUGUAUAGUUAAUCUGCCCCAUAGUGGAGGACAACAGUUAGAAAUGACUGCUAAUACUCCAUACUCCUUCUUAUCAUAAGUUAAGUCGGGAAAGUUUUUCGCUAUGGGAUGGGACUAUAUCGUAUCAGCUAGUUGG